Molecule: ribosomal RNA, 634 nt
Filed under: uncultured bacterium
Lineage: Bacteria
Description: bacterial SSU rRNA
Rfam family: Bacterial small subunit ribosomal RNA (bases 1-538)
Source: RNAcentral
CCUACGGGAGGCAGCAGUGGGGAAUAUUGGACAAUGGGCGAAAGCCUGAUCCAGCAAUUCCGCGUGUGUGAAGAAGGCCUUCGGGUUGUAAAGCACUUUAGUGGGGGAAGAAACAGCUUGGCCACACCAAGCCUUGACGGUACCCCAAGAAUAAGCACCGGCUAACUCUGUGCCAGCAGCCGCGGUAAUACAGAGGGUGCAAGCGUUAAUCGGAUUUACUGGGCGUAAAGGGUGCGUAGGUGGCUAUUUAAGUCGGAUGUGAAAGCCCGGGGCUCAACCUCGGAAUUGCAUUCGAUACUGAGUGGCUAGAGUUCGGUAGAGGGCGGCGGAAUUUCCGGUGUAGCGGUGAAAUGCGUAGAUAUCGGAAGGAACAUCAAUGGCGAAGGCAGCCGCCUGGGCCUGGACUGACACUGAGGCACGAAAGCGUGGGUAGCAAACAGGAUUAGAUACCCUGGUAGUCCACGCCGUAAACGAUGAGAACUUGACGUUGGUUCGUUUUACGAAUCGGCGUCGCNGCUACGACGAUAGUUACUCCGUCCGUCGGGUAGGUACGGCCGGCCGAAGGUUAGGUAAACGUUAAAAGGUAAGUUAGUACGGCGUGAGACGUGCCGACGGACGACGACGAGGGAGGAGG